RNAcentral lists this ribosomal RNA (490 nucleotides) under uncultured bacterium. Its description in RNAcentral is "partial 16S ribosomal RNA". It matches the Rfam family "Bacterial small subunit ribosomal RNA", at positions 30 to 507 of the family's 1533-position model. The record is from RNAcentral.
AUUGAACGCUGGCGGCAGGCCUAACACAUGCAAGUCGAACGGUAACAGGUAGCCGCUUGCUGCUUUGCUGACGAGUGGCGGACGGGUGAGUAAUGUCUGGGAAACUGCCCGAUGGAGGGGGAUAACUACUGGAAACGGUAGCUAAUACCGCAUAACGUCGCAAGACCAAAGAGGGGGACCUUAGGGCCUCUUGCCAUCGGAUGUGCCCAGAUGGGAUUAGCUAGUAGGUGGGGUAACGGCUCACCUAGGCGACGAUCCCUAGCUGGUCUGAGAGGAUGACCAGCCACACUGGAACUGAGACACGGUCCAGACUCCUACGGGAGGCAGCAGUGGGGAAUAUUGCACAAUGGGCGCAAGCCUGAUGCAGCCAUGCCGCGUGUAUGAAGAAGGCCUUCGGGUUGUAAAGUACUUUCAGCGGGGAGGAAGGGAGUAAAGUUAAUACCUUUGCUCAUUGACGUUACCCGCAGAAGAAGCACCGGCUAACUCCGUG